RNAcentral lists this unclassified non-coding RNA (661 nucleotides) under Hevea brasiliensis (rubber tree). Lineage: Eukaryota; Viridiplantae; Streptophyta; Magnoliopsida; Malpighiales; Euphorbiaceae. The record is from RNAcentral.
UUUUCCCCCAGCUUAGCUCCGGCGAUUCAGUUAACGUUCAGCACUACUUUCCGGCGACGGAACGUCGGCGUAGUAUCUCGAAUGGAAUCAACAUCCAUUUCUCCCUCCGGCGGCUCCGGCACUACCGCCGUCAGCGCCAUUGCUGCCGGCGGCGAUGCGACCACAACCGGCAGCAAUAGUACAGAGGAGAGCUCGAUUACCGAUACGGUGGUUCAGUAUGUUGUUCUACGGAGAGAUUUGAUUGAUACAUGGCCGUUAGGAAGUGUGGUUACGCAAGGCUGCCAUGCCGCCGUCGCCGCCAUUUGGUCUCACAAAGACGAUGCUGUUACUCUUCAAUAUUGUAGCCCUUCCAAUAUCGAUUCGAUGCAUAAGGUAACCCUUGAAGUGAAGGGUGAAACCCAGAUAUUGAACUUGGCAGAAAAGCUAAAAGCUGGGGGCAUUGCUCAUAAACUGUGGAUUGAACAACCAGAAAACAUACCAACCUGUCUUGCUACAAAACCUUAUCCAAAAUCCCUGGUAUCUUCAUUUUUCAAGAAGCUAAAACUUUGUAAAUGAUGAAUUUCAAGUGUCGUCCGUUUAUGUGAUACUGACACAAGUAGGCUUAGUUUCAGUGUUAUGGAAUUGAACCUAUUUGCUAAUGAUGAGCUACUCUUUGUAAUGA